AAACAAAAAAGCUUAUUAACUCUGUGUUUUUUCCUUUCUCUCUUUCUCUUUCUUGUGUUCCUGUUCUUGCUUUUGGUAGUCUAAUUAUUGGUUUUCCUCUUUUUCUUUUGUAUUUUUUUUUUGAAACGCCAUUUUUCAAAUCUUUUCCUUUGAAUUUCUGAUCCAUUCAGAGUGCUGAAACAUAUUCAGAACAUAUAUGUUUCAGCAAGCAAAUAUUUAGGGAUGGGUUUACAAGGAGCUACGUCAGGCAUGGAGGAUGCCAAAGAGCAAAUUGUACAGGAGUCCAAAAAUUCCACGCUACCAUCUCAAGAUGAGAAAAAUCCCUUCAUCCCUGGAAGAGAGAUACCUCCUGAUGCACAAGAUCAAAUACAGAGAUUUUAUCAUUACUGAAGCAAAGAGAAGAAGUGUGAAUGGAAAAUAUUCUUAUUGCUAGCUUUUUACUUCAGCAUGAGUUGUCAGAUAAUGCCAUAGCUAGUUGCAUUGAAAAUGAAGAGGAUGUUUUGUCAUUUGGGGAUGAAGAUAUGGUUUCGGUUGAUCAGGAAAAUGAAGAAUUUCAGGACUGUGAGGUUCGUGCUGAGGGACAUGAAGGAACCCCUCAUGAAGCUCUUAUUUUGGCGCUUGGCUAUUUGGGUGUGCGGGAUCUUUUUGUUAUUGAGAAUGUUUGCACAUCUCUGUGAUCUGUAGUUCAGAAUGAUCCUCUUUUAUGGAGGGAUAUUCACAUAAAUCCGCCACUGAAUGAGAAGAUUACGGAUGAUGUUCUUUUACAAAUAACUGCUAGAGGCCAAGGAAGCUUGCAAUGCUUGAGCCUGGUUGAUUGCCAAAGGAUUACUGAUGAAGGUCUUAAGCAUGUCGUUGAAAAUAAUCCAAAGCUAAUCAAGCCAUGCUUCCAAUAAUGUGUUAGAUGGGCUGAACAUGUUUGAUGGAACUGAUGCUCAUUACUUCCACACGGGGUCAAGGGGUCACCACUCGGUGUGGGAUUCUCGCCUUUUUAAUUAUGGAAGCUGGGAAGUAUGUACUUCUACCUAAACAUUUCUUAAUGAAUAGCUUGUUUAAAGAUUUUGGCUUCCUCCCUUCCAGUUGUAAAUAUUAUUUUCUUAGUUGUUGCUUUAGGUAUUGAGGUAUCUUCUUUCAUAUGCAAGAUGGUGGCUGGAGGAGUAUAAGUUUGAUGGGUACAUAUUUGAUGGUGUGACUUCAAUGAUGUACAAGAUUUCAUUGAUUAAGUAAAUGUAUUAUUUAUUUGAGUAAGAAAAUGCAUUGUAUGUUUUAUUACCUUGCAUAUGUAUUAUUUAUUUUAGUUUUGAUUCUAAAUUUUUAUUUUUACUUAAGAGUUCUAA
Molecule: RNA transcript, 1334 nt
Organism: Gossypium raimondii (Peruvian cotton)
Lineage: Eukaryota; Viridiplantae; Streptophyta; Magnoliopsida; Malvales; Malvaceae
Exons: 6
Source: RefSeq, a predicted model, not a curated record